RNAcentral lists this long non-coding RNA (3479 nucleotides) under Homo sapiens (human). RNAcentral describes it as "HSALNT0104330". Lineage: Eukaryota; Metazoa; Chordata; Mammalia; Primates; Hominidae. The record is from RNAcentral.
UUACAGGCGUGAGCCUCUGCGCCCAGCCGGUACACUGCUUUUGAGAAGUAAUUUGAUAAUAUGUAUGAGAAGGCUUAAAAAUAUUCAUGCGGCCGGGCAUGAUGGCUCACGCCUGUAAUCCCAGCACUUUGGGAGGCCGAGGCGGGUGGAUCAUGAGGUCAGGAGUUCGAGACCAGCAUGGCCAAUAUGGUGAAACUCUGUCUCUACUAAAAAUACAAAAAGUAGCCAGGUGUGGUGACGUGUGCCUGUAAUCCCAGCUACUUAGGAGGUUGAGGAAGGAGAAUCUCUUGAACCCAGGAGGUGGAGGUUGCAGUGAGCUGAGAUCUCGCCACUGCACUCCAUCCUGUGUGACAAAGCGAGAUUCCGUCUCAAAAAAAAAAAAAAAUUUCAUGCCUUUUGACCCAGUAACUUUUAUUGAGAAAUCUGUGAUUUUAAAACAAAAUCCAAUAUAUAGAAAGAUCUUUAGGUAUAAGGAUAUUAAUUACAAUAAUGAAAAAAACAUGCAAAAGAAGAGUGGCUAGGUCCUCUGUUUGGAAACAGCCUACAGCUGGUGAAAGCUGUGUGUAAGAAGAUUUUGUAAUAUGAUAGAAAGUUGUGUAUUGAUAAUAAAGUUUUGAAAAGCAAGAUUCAAAAUAACUCAUAAGCAUGACGACACUAAGUCAUCCUGCACAGUCACCCGCAUGCACAAAAACCAGGAGUGGAAACUCAGGGGCAGCUGCAAAGCACAGCUCCAGGCCCCUUCCCUCUGAAGUCUGAGGCUCUGCCAGGCAACGUUUCAUCCCGAUCCUCCCAGUGGAGACACUGGCAGUUUCCAUCCUUCUGCUUCUUUAUACCUUUUUAUAUUUUCUGUACUUGAGAUUUUACUUCCUAAGAAGAUAAAAUACCUAUUAGAAAGUUUUAAAAAUUUGAAAUAAAAUUUUAAAGAAGUCCAAACGUCUGGCCAGGCGCAUUGGCUCAUGCCUGUAAUCCCUGCACUUUGGGAGGCCGAGGCGGGCAGAUCACGAGGUGAGGAGUUCGAGACCAGCCUGGCCAACAUAGCGAAACCCUGUCUCUACUAAAAAUACAAAAAAUUAGCUGGAUGUGGUGGUGGGUGUCUGUAAUUCCAGCUACUCAGGAGACUGAGGCAGGAGAAUCGCUGGAACUCGAGACGCAGAGCUUGCAGUGAGCCAAAAUCGUGCCACUACACUCCAGCCUGGGUGAUAAGAGCAAAACUCUGUCUCAAAAAAAAAAAAAAAAAAGUCCAAAUGUCCAUUCCCAACUCAGCUUCAAGGAAAGUCUCCUCUAGACUCCACAGGGUAGAAAUUCCUGUUGAUGGCACCUUCAGAAGGUAAGAAAGGAACUCGUCCUCCACCAUGCCUGACCCGUCUUUGGGUUUUAGGCAUUGGCCGACUGAUAAAGGCAAUACUGAGAGUGUGAUCAAUGUGUAGACGACCGAUUGUCAUAUAAUAUGAAUCUCACCACACCUGAGAGAGUGGGAUAGAUUCUCUCAUUUUCAUAGUUUGGGCAUCUGAGUCCCUGAGAGCCUGAAUGCCUGACAUGGAUUCUCCAAGAAUGUUGGCCUUCAGACUCUAAAGGGCCCCGGGUCUCCUGUGAAGCCCCCUGUGCAUGCACCACACCCGCAGAGGCUCCACAACGGCGGGAAGGGCACCCAGGGUCAGAGCCCAGGCGAGUUCACACUCGGGGACCAUCCACAUCCAGGGCGUGCAGGGGAGGGGCCGAGGUGAGAGCCCAACCCCUGCCUAGGCUGUGGUGACUGGUGGCUGCACGGGGGUCCCAGCGCUCCUGGAGCUAUCAUUCUUUAUCUCCUGAAGACCCCGGACCCGCACAUACCAAAAUUCUGCAUUUCUGGUGGCGCGGUCUUCUCUUUUGAGAUGUAAACACUACUUCUCGAAUCUUAAAGCCAGCCAUUGCCACUCCUAAGGGAUAAGCCUCUAACUCCACUGAAAUUAGCCUCAGAAUUUCAGCUGAGCAUUUGGAGCCACAGGCAGGAAGUCUGUGGGAUUUGCACCUGGCUGAUCUGGAAGGUGGUCCUGAAAGGUAGUGUGUGACUAGGGGGGCUUUGAGGGGCAUGGAUGUCCCUGAUGAAAGGAGAACAAGACAGAUGGGAAGGUUCCAAAAGUGAACUUUAGGGGGCCCUGUGCCCAUCACUAGGAUUUGGAAAAUCUUUUCCCAGCCACUUUUGGCCUGUGGGUUUUCAUUCUGCUUUCCUGUCUGCCAAGCCAUUCCAGGCAAUCCCUUCAUUUGGUAAACAUUUAUCAAAUACCUACUGUGUGCAGGGCAUUGUUUUAAGAGGAGCUGGGACUGAGAUAAGAGGAAAUAAACCCUCCUUGCCCUCAAGGCGUGCCCAGUCUUGCUCAGGCAGAGAUCAGUAAGGAAAUCAUAACACAAAUUGAGAGAGGAAAAAGGAAGAAACUGGUCAGGCGGGCAGUUAUGGUGGGUCCUCAGUUGAAUUAUUUCAAACAAAAGAACGGCCUGCAGGCACAAAGAAGGGAACUUGCACAGGGGGGCUUGCCUAAGACAUGCCCACAGCUGCACAAAUAAGAAAGGCUGCAGUAAUCCCAUUCCUACAUCCAUAUCUUGGGGAACUCACACAGGGGACCAGAGAGAGAUGACCCAGGAUGUUCAUUGUGGCAGUGUCUGUAACAGAAACAAGCUAAAGGUCACGGACAGAAGAGAUAAAUUGUGGGAUAUUCCUCCCAUGAAUACUAUCCAGAACUGAAAACAAAGUAACUGUUUCUAUGGGUGUGGGUUCACCUCAUAAACCAUAUUAAAUGAUAAAGCAAGCCACAGAAUGAUACAUUCAACAAAAAACAAUUUAUACGAAGUCUAAAAUCAUGUAAAACAAAGGGAUUUUAAAAACUUUGUAACAAUAUAAAGGCAUUCACCAAAUUCAAGACAUCCGCCACUCCCCACUGGCAGUCCUUGCUUUACUCAGUACAGUAUCGACUGAAACACAUACAUAACAGAACUGUGGAAAAUCAGGGCUAUCUGCAUAUAUUUCUAUUAUUUUCUAUGUAUACUACAUAUAGCCAAUAAUAUUAAAAUGUUACAAAUUGACAAACCUGAGUGGUGGCUUCACAAAGAUUUCUUUUAAUUCUCUAUUCUUCCAGCUAGAACUACUUCAGCUAGAUCAAGUGGUGGCAGUGAUCUGCAAAAGUCAGAGGUCACAGUUACCAUGACAACCCCAACAGAGCAGGCAAGGUUGUGCUUGACCUGCAGGGAGUGUGGGGAAGGUUAACAGAGGGCAGUGUCCCAGGUUCAGAACAGAAGGACAGCCAGCAAGGGCGCUGCUUGAUAUCUAUGAAAAGAAAGCAAGAAUUGAGGAGCAGGAGGCUGAGGGUGUUUGAUCCAAGACAAAGUCAUAAUCUGUUCUCAAUGCCUAGACCUCACCUAACUUUCAGAUUCAGAUCCCAAUGACAGAGGAGGGGAGUCCAUAUCCCUAGGAGGAAGAACCCUGGAACACCCUGGGAGUAUAUGCU